Non-coding RNA from Cyanistes caeruleus (blue tit), 390 nucleotides. The record is from RefSeq and is a predicted model, not a curated record. Lineage: Eukaryota; Metazoa; Chordata; Aves; Passeriformes; Paridae.
AAUCUUUCCCUUUCAAAAAUCUGUGCACAGACUCUCAGAAGCACCGUUGUUGCUCACAUGGUGGGAACUCCCUGCAGGAGCUUUUCUUCCCAAGAAGCUGUCUAGACCCCAGCACCUCCCGACUGCUGAGCCAGCCCCAUUCCAGUUGCCAGCUUGUUACAACAUCAGAAGAAGAAUUCAAAGUGCUGAUUUAUCUGCUAUUGGAAAUGUCUCUAGGGAUGAAAGCAGAUAUGAGGAAAACUGUGGGAGAAGGAUGCUACGAAGUCUGGCUGGUAGCUGUUGAACAAAAAGAAGAGAAAAGAAAAAAAAGUUUGAUACUUGAUCCCAGUCUUUUGUUGGAGAAUGAACAGUAGUUUUAUUUUAGAGCUGAAAGGCUUCCAAACACAAAGA